AGCUACAGGCUUAACACAUGCAAGUCGAGGGGCAUCAGGAAGAAAGCUUGCUUUCUUUGCUGGCGACCGGCGCACGGGUGAGUAACACGUAUCCAACCUGCCCUUUACUCGGGGAUAGCCUUUCGAAAGAAAGAUUAAUACCCGAUGGCAUAAUGAUUCCGCAUGGUUUCAUUAUUAAAGGAUUCCGGUAAAGGAUGGGGAUGCGUUCCAUUAGGUUGUUGGUGAGGUAACGGCUCACCAAGCCUUCGAUGGAUAGGGGUUCUGAGAGGAAGGUCCCCCACAUUGGAACUGAGACACGGUCCAAACUCCUACGGGAGGCAGCAGUGAGGAAUAUUGGUCAAUGGGCGCUAGCCUGAACCAGCCAAGUAGCGUGAAGGAUGAAGGCUCUAUGGGUCGUAAACUUCUUUUAUAUAAGAAUAAAGUGCAGUAUGUAUACUGUUUUGUAUGUAUUAUAUGAAUAAGGAUCGGCUAACUCCGUGCCAGCAGCCGCGGUAAUACGGAGGAUCCGAGCGUUAUCCGGAUUUAUUGGGUUUAAAGGGAGCGUAGGUGGACUGGUAAGUCAGUUGUGAAAGUUUGCGACUCAACCGUAAAAUUGCAGUUGAUACUGUCAGUCUUGAGUACAGUAGAGGUGGGCGGAAUUCGUGGUGUAGCGGUGAAAUGCUUAGAUAUCACGAAGAACUCCGAUUGCGAAGGCAGCUCACUGGACUGCAACUGACACUGAUGCUCGAAAGUGUGGGUAUCAAACAGGAUUAGAUACCCUGGUAGUCCACACAGUAAACGAUGAAUACUCGCUGUUUGCGAUAUACAGUAAGCGGCCAAGCGAAAGCAUUAAGUAUUCCACCUGGGGAGUACGCCGGCAACGGUGAAACUCAAAGGAAUUGACGGGGGCCCGCACAAGCGGAGGAACAUGUGGUUUAAUUCGAUGAUACGCGAGGAACCUUACCCGGGCUUAAAUUGCAGUGGAAUGAUGUGGAAACAUGUCAGUGAGCAAUCACCGCUGUGAAGGUGCUGCAUGGUUGUCGUCAGCUCGUGCCGUGAGGUGUCGGCUUAAGUGCCAUAACGAGCGCAACCCUUAUCUUUAGUUACUAACAGGUUAUGCUGAGGACUCUAGAGAGACUGCCGUCGUAAGAUGUGAGGAAGGUGGGGAUGACGUCAAAUCAGCACGGCCCUUACGUCCGGGGCUACACACGUGUUACAAUGGGGGGUACAGAAGGCAGCUAGCGGGUGACCGUAUGCUAAUCCCAAAAGCCUCUCUCAGUUCGGAUCGAAGUCUGCAACCCGACUUCGUGAAGCUGGAUUCGCUAGUAAUCGCGCAUCAGCCACGGCGCGGUGAAUACGUUCCCGGGCCUUGUACACACCGCCCGUCAAGCCAUGGGAGCCGGGGGUACCUGAAGUACGUAACCGCAAGGAUCGUCCUAGGGUAAAACUGGUGACUGGGGCUAAGUCAUA
This 1449-nucleotide ribosomal RNA is filed under the name uncultured organism. RNAcentral describes it as "SSU rRNA". It matches the Rfam family "Bacterial small subunit ribosomal RNA". The record is from RNAcentral.